RNAcentral lists this long non-coding RNA (415 nucleotides) under Brassica napus (rape). RNAcentral's name for it is "long non-coding RNA (BNAP_LNC024684)". Lineage: Eukaryota; Viridiplantae; Streptophyta; Magnoliopsida; Brassicales; Brassicaceae. The record is from RNAcentral.
GGGCUUAGUAUUUUGGAUUUAGGGUUUAGUAUUUUAGGUUUAUUAUUUACGGUUUAGUCACUAGGGUUGGGUUUCAGGGUUCCUAUUGGGUUUAGGGUCCAGUAUUUUGGGUUUAGGGUUCAGGGCAUUGGAUUUAUUGUUUGGGUUAAGCAUUUAUUAUUAAGGGUUUCGGGUGUAGUAUUGUUUGGUGUGGUUAUCUAAAUCCUUAUACCAACACACUUAUUCCCAACCCUACCCCUAUACCUCCACGUAAGUGUAAACAAAUUAUCUACAAACUGAUUUCUUAUACACUUAUAUAUCUUGUUAACCGGAUAACUUGUCCGUUCACCCUAAGCGAUAAUGUAUUAUAGUUCAUCUUAGCCGGGUAUUGUUAGAAUUACUCGUCGGUUGUAAAUAUUGACCGGUCAAAGAAUUU